AGUAUGGAGAGUUUGAUCCUGGCUCAGGAUGAACGCUAGCGGCAGGCUUAAUACAUGCAAGUCGAGGGGCAUCAAGGUACACGAAAGUGUAUUGUUGGCGACCGGCGGACGGGUGAGUAAUAGGUAGGUAACCUACCUCAUACUGAGGCAUAGCUGGGAGAAAUUCCAGGUAAUUCCUCAUGAGGUUAUAUGACACAUGUGAUAUAAUCAAAGGUAUCGCAAGGUACUGGUAUGAGAUGGGCUUACUGACCAUUAGCUAGUUGGUGAGAUAAGAGCUCACCAAGGCGAAGAUGGUUAGGGGUUUUGAGAGAGAGAUCCCCCACAUUGGAACUGAGAUACGGUCCAGACUCCUACGGGAGGCAGCAGUAGGGAAUAUUGGGCAAUGGGCGGAAGCCUGACCCAGCCAUGCCGCGUGAAGGAAGACGGCCUUAUGGGUUGUAAACUUCUUUACUAUGCGACUAACUAGAUUUACGAGAUAAUUCCUAUAGAAUGUAGUAGCAAAAAGCACCGGCUAACCCUGCCAGCAGCCGCGGUAAUACGGAGGGUGCGAGCGUUAUUCGGAAUUACUGGUUUAAAGGUGCGUAGGCGGCUAAGUAAGUUGUCAUUGAAAGGCUACAGCUCAACUGUAGUAGUGGUGGCGAUACUGCUUAGCCAAGAAACAUGGAGGGGCAUUGGAAGUGUGGUGUAGCGGUGAAAUGCGUAGAUAUCACACAGAACACCAGAGGCGAAGGCGGAGUACUAGACCAUAGUUGACGCUGAGGCACGAAAGCGUGGGGAUCAAACAGGAUUAGAUACCCUGGUAGUCCACGCCCUAAACGAUGAUCACUAGAUAUUGGCGACAAACAGUCAGUGUCCAAGCGAAAGUGAUAAGUGAUCCACCUGGGGACUACGGCCGCAAGGUUAAAACUCAAAGGAAUUGACGGGGGCCCGCACAAGCGGAGGAGCAUGUGGUUUAAUUCGAUGGUACGCGAGGAACCUUACCUGGGUUAGAACGUAUGAGCGAUGCAGCUGAAAGGUUGCAGGCCUGCGAAGGAGUUCAUACGAGGUGCCGAUGGUUGUCGUCAGCUCGUGCCGUGAGGUGUUUGGUUAAGUCCAGCAACGAGCGCAACCCCUACCUUUAGUUGCCAUCAGGUAAAGCUGGGGACACUAGAGGGACUGCCUGCGCAAGCAGUGAGGAAGGUGGGGAUGACGUCAAAUCAGCACGGCCCUUAUGUCCAGGGCUACACACAGUGCUAAAUGGUAACUACAGAGGGCAGCGACUAGGUGACUAGGAGCGAAUCUCGAAAAGUUAUCGUAGUUCGAUUGAGUCUGCAACUCGACUCCGAUGAAGAUGGAUUCGCUAGUAAUCGCGCAUCAGCAAUGGCGCGGUGAAUACGUUCCCGGGCCUUGUACACACCGCCCGUCAAGCUUAGGGAGUACACGGGAAGUUCGUGCGGCCGGAAACAAAAAGCAUAACAGGUGCGGGGACCUAGGGUAAACCGAUGACAGGGGCUAAGUGUGGUAACAAGGUAAAACUGUAAUGAAGGGUCGGCAGGGAAUACCUCCUCU
This 1548-nucleotide ribosomal RNA is filed under the name Bacteroidales bacterium. Its description in RNAcentral is "bacterial SSU rRNA". It matches the Rfam family "Bacterial small subunit ribosomal RNA". Lineage: Bacteria; Pseudomonadati; Bacteroidota; Bacteroidia; Bacteroidales. The record is from RNAcentral.